RNAcentral lists this ribosomal RNA (1236 nucleotides) under Triticum aestivum (bread wheat). RNAcentral describes it as "partial small subunit ribosomal RNA". Lineage: Eukaryota; Viridiplantae; Streptophyta; Magnoliopsida; Poales; Poaceae. The record is from RNAcentral.
AUGAUGGUAACUGCCUUGGAGUGGGAAGAUGGCCCAUCUUGUGCUCUUUUCUCGGAGGGGACCGAAGACUAUGAGUGGAUGAAUCAAAAAGUAGACAUACCAGUCAAGCAUGUGCAGACACCAAAUGCUUCUAGCUCUGAUGUGCAGAAUUCAAUCCCAUCAGUGCCAAACUUUGACAACACUCCUCAAGUUGAAAGGCCUAGCAACCUCCCAACCGCAACAUUUGACACAGCUCCAAAGCUCCCUAGGGCAAACGACAUUCCGGGGCCUGUGUUUGAUGUGUCCCCCAUCUCAUUCAAAAACGCUUCCUCCGAUGGACCUCAAGUAGUAGUGGAUUUGCACGAGACAACCGAGGCGAAUGUUGCGGUCAGGGGUGAGUCCAACAGUCUUGGUAAACAGUCAAAGAAGAAAAGGGUGGCUGUCUCCCCAGACAAUGUGACAACGAUGAAGAAGAUUAAGGUUGAUGCACACGGUGAUGCCUUACACCAUCAGUAUGUAAUGACCAGAUACAAGACAAGAAAACCAAAGAAAAACGAGCUUCUGCCCGACUUCAUUGAAAUAGAUGGCUUCCAUACAUCUCUCGAGAAUUUUCAUGCAUCUCUAAAGCCAAGAGCGGAGAUUGACAAUGAGGUCAUGACCUUAUACCUGAAGACAUUCAACUAUGAUCAGUCAGUGAAGAAGAAGAAGCCAAAAAAAUUUGUUUUCUCAGUGUUGAUGAGUUUGAAACUCAGUGCUGAGCCAGAUGUGUUUGAUCCGAAGGUGUGCGAAAAAGAAUUUAAGAAUGCUUGCUUAAAAAAUCACAUUUCAAAAUCUGACCUGCUAUUCUUCAUGGUUGUACACAAAAGGCACUGGGCAGUAGUAGUUGUUAACAUCACCCAAAAGGAGUUCAAUAUCUUUGACUCCAUUAGGAACUCGGAAGACCUUUUUGAGAUGGACAUGAUCACUAAGAAUGUGGUCGCAAACAUCAAGAGUGUUGCAAUGAGGGAGCCACUUUUUAAGCACAAUCUCGAGUCUUACUUGCUAUUCACCCCACUUGAUUACCCUCAACAAAAAACUUACUAUAACUGUGGCUACUAUAGUAUUUUAUACGUGGAGAAUUGGGAUGGCCUUGUUAUGCUGUCAUUUGGCGAGGAUUACAUCCCAAACCUUUGGAAACGCAUUGCAGCAGAUCUGUUGAGACACCCAAGCAACAAGUUGGACCCCGCGCAUCAGCUGAAGCUGCUUCUUCAGCGUUAG